This 239-nucleotide ribosomal RNA is filed under the name uncultured bacterium. RNAcentral's name for it is "partial 16S ribosomal RNA". It matches the Rfam family "Bacterial small subunit ribosomal RNA", at positions 538 to 776 of the family's 1533-position model. The record is from RNAcentral.
GCGUUAUCCGGAUUCACUGGGUUUAAAGGGUGUGUAGGCGGGCAGUUAAGUCAGUGGUGAAAUCUCCAGGCUCAACCUGGAAACUGCCAUUGAUACUAUCUGUCUUGAAUUCUGUUGAGGUGGGCGGAAUACAUCAUGUAGCGGUGAAAUGCUUAGAUAUGAUGUAGAACACCGAUUGCGAAGGCAGCUCACUAAACAGAUAUUGACGCUGAGGCACGAAAGCGUGGGGAGCAAACAGG